GAUGAACGCUGGAAGAAUGCUUAACACAUGCAAGUCGAUUCAAAGUUCCUUUCGGGGAACGGAGGAUGGCGGACGGGUGAGUAACGCGUAAGGAACUUGCCUUUUGGCCUGGGACAACUGUUGGAAACGACAGCUAAUACCGGAUAUUAUGAGAUUCUCGCAUGGGAAACUUAUGAAAGCUAUAUGCGCCAAAAGAGAGCCUUGCGUUCCAUUAGCUAGUUGGUGGGGUAACGGCCCACCAAGGCGACGAUGGAUAGCCGGCCUGAGAGGGUGAACGGCCACAAGGGGACUGAGACACGGCCCUUACUCCUACGGGAGGCAGCAGUGGGGAAUAUUGGACAAUGGGCCACAAGCCUGAUCCAGCAAUUCUGUGUGCACGAUGAAGGUUUUCGGAUCGUAAAGUGCUUUCAGUUGGGAAGAAGAAAGUGACGGUACCAACAGAAGAAGCGACGGCUAAAUACGUGCCAGCAGCCGCGGUAAUACGUAUGUCGCAAGCGUUAUCCGGAUUUAUUGGGCGUAAAGCGCGUCUAGGCGGAAAAGAAAGUCUGAUGUUAAAAUGCGGGGCUCAACUCCGUAUUGCGUUGGAAACUGCUUUUCUAGAGUACUGGAGAGGUGGGCGGAACUACAAGUGUAGAGGUGAAAUUCGUAGAUAUUUGUAGGAAUGCCGAUGGAGAAGUCAGCUCACUGGACAGAUACUGACGCUAAAGCGCGAAAGCGUGGGGAGCAAACAGG
Molecule: ribosomal RNA, 732 nt
Filed under: uncultured bacterium
Lineage: Bacteria
Description: bacterial SSU rRNA
Rfam family: Bacterial small subunit ribosomal RNA
Source: RNAcentral